AUACGAACAAUAAAGACUGCUUAUAUAUCCCCCUAAUAUGGAGGGGAGUAUCUACCGGAAGCCGUAAAUUUCCGACUAUAAGUGAAGUUUGAUAUAGC
Clostridium disporicum is the source of this 98-nucleotide regulatory RNA element. It matches the Rfam family "Purine riboswitch aptamer". Rfam says of the family: Riboswitches are metabolite binding domains within certain messenger RNAs that serve as precision sensors for their corresponding targets. Allosteric rearrangement of mRNA structure is mediated by ligand binding, and this results in modulation of gene expression. NCBI's taxonomy places the organism in Bacteria, Bacillati, Bacillota, Clostridia, Eubacteriales, Clostridiaceae. The record is from Rfam.